AUGUCUUGUUCAAAUUCAAAACUCAUAAAAAUUGGUUAUCUUUUAUCUCUUAAAGGCUAUACAAAUAAUUGAAGGUUAAUUAGCAGUGUAACUGUAUAGUAAUGCCGCCAGUCUCCUCCAGGCAAAA
Molecule: small nucleolar RNA, 127 nt
Filed under: Sus scrofa (pig)
Lineage: Eukaryota; Metazoa; Chordata; Mammalia; Artiodactyla; Suidae
Source: RNAcentral